Molecule: ribosomal RNA, 484 nt
Filed under: Flavobacterium sp. CL1.135
Lineage: Bacteria; Pseudomonadati; Bacteroidota; Flavobacteriia; Flavobacteriales; Flavobacteriaceae
Description: bacterial SSU rRNA
Rfam family: Bacterial small subunit ribosomal RNA
Source: RNAcentral
UCCCUGGCUCAGGAUGAACGCUAGCGGCAGGCUUAACACAUGCAAGUCGAGGGGUAGAGUUCUUCGGAACUUGAGACCGGCGCACGGGUGCGUAACGCGUAUGCAAUCUACCUUUUACAGAGGGAUAGCCCAGAGAAAUUUGGAUUAAUACCUCAUAGUAUAAUGACUCGGCAUCGAGAUAUUAUUAAAGUCACAACGGUAAAAGAUGAGCAUGCGUCCCAUUAGCUAGUUGGUAAGGUAACGGCUUACCAAGGCAACGAUGGGUAGGGGUCCUGAGAGGGAGAUCCCCCACACUGGUACUGAGACACGGACCAGACUCCUACGGGAGGCAGCAGUGAGGAAUAUUGGACAAUGGGCGCAAGCCUGAUCCAGCCAUGCCGCGUGCAGGAUGACGGUCCUAUGGAUUGUAAACUGCUUUUGUACAGGAAGAAACACUGGUUCGUGAACCAGCUUGACGGUACUGUAAGAAUAAGGAUUCGGCUAA